CCUACGGGAGGCAGCAGUGAGGAAUAUUGGUCAAUGGUCGCGAGACUGAACCAGCCAAGCCGCGUGCUGGAGGACGGCACAGUGUAUCGUAAACUUCUUUUGUCAGGGAACAAAGACAGGGACGCGUCCCUGGCUGAGUGUACCUGAAGAAUAAGCAUCGGCUAACUCCGUGCCAGCAGCCGCGGUAAUACGGAGGAUUCAAGCGUUAUCCGGAUUUAUUGGGUUUAAAGGGUGCGCAGGCGGUCCGGUAAGUUAGAGGUGAAAUCCCGAGGCUCAACCUCGGAAUUGCCUUUGAAACUGGCAGGCUAGAGUGGGAGAGAGGUAGGCGGAAUGCGCGGUGUAGCGGUGAAAUGCAUAGAGAUCGUGCAGAACACCGAUUGCGAAGGCAGCUUGCCGACUUCACACUGACGCUGAGGCACGAAAGCGUGGGUAGCAAACAGGAUUAGAUACCCGUGUAGUC
RNAcentral lists this ribosomal RNA (460 nucleotides) under uncultured bacterium. RNAcentral describes it as "partial 16S ribosomal RNA". It matches the Rfam family "Bacterial small subunit ribosomal RNA", at positions 338 to 795 of the family's 1533-position model. The record is from RNAcentral.